This 417-nucleotide unclassified non-coding RNA is filed under the name uncultured Sebacina. RNAcentral's name for it is "sequence contains ITS2". The stretch from base 1 to 154 matches the Rfam family "5.8S ribosomal RNA". The record is from RNAcentral. Lineage: Eukaryota; Fungi; Basidiomycota; Agaricomycetes; Sebacinales; Sebacinaceae.
AACUUUUAGCAACGGGUCACUUGGCUCUCGCAUCGAUGAAGAACGCAGCGAAAUGCGAUAAGUAAUGUGAAUUGCAGAAUUCAGUGAAUCAUCGAAUCUUUGAACGCACCUUGCGCCCUUUGGUAUUCCGAAGGGUAUGCUCGUUUGAGUGUCAUUGUACUCUCAUGCUCCCGAUGCUUUUGGAUCGGGAGUGGUGGACUUGGGUGUUGCUGCUUUACUGUGGCUCACCUCAAAUGGAGUAGUGCAACUCUUGGUUGGACAUAGUACGGCGUGAUAAGUGUCUUCGCCGGCGCCUCAUUAGAGGGUGGCCGAUCGGGAGCUCUGUGCUUCAAACCGUCUUCGGACAACAUCUGACAACUUGACCUCAAAUCGAGUAGGACUACCCGCUGAACUUAAGCAUAUCAAUAAGCGGAGGCU